RNAcentral lists this ribosomal RNA (253 nucleotides) under uncultured bacterium. RNAcentral describes it as "partial 16S ribosomal RNA". It matches the Rfam family "Bacterial small subunit ribosomal RNA", at positions 524 to 776 of the family's 1533-position model. The record is from RNAcentral.
UACGUAGGUGGCAAGCGUUGUCCGGAUUUACUGGGCGUAAAGGGAGCGUAGGCGGAUUUUUAAGUGGGAUGUGAAAUACCCGGGCUCAACUUGGGUGCUGCAUUCCAAACUGGAAGUCUAGAGUGCAGGAGAGGAAAGUGGAAUUCCUAGUGUAGCGGUGAAAUGCGUAGAGAUUAGGAAGAACACCAGUGGCGAAGGCGACUUUCUGGACUGUAACUGACGCUGAGGCUCGAAAGCGUGGGGAGCAAACAGG